RNAcentral lists this ribosomal RNA (301 nucleotides) under uncultured bacterium. Its description in RNAcentral is "partial 16S ribosomal RNA". It matches the Rfam family "Bacterial small subunit ribosomal RNA", at positions 509 to 807 of the family's 1533-position model. The record is from RNAcentral.
CAGCAGCCACGGGAAUACGGAGGGUGCGAGCGUUAAUCGGAAUUACUGGGCGUAAAGCGUACGCAGGCGGUUUGUUAAGUCAGAUGUGAAAUCCCCGAGCUUAACUCGGGAACUGCAUUUGAAACUGGCGGGCUAGAGUCUCGUAGAGGGGGGUAGAAUUCCAGGUGUAGCGGUGAAAUGCGUAGAGAUCUGGAGGAAUACCGGUGGCGAAGGCGGCCCCCUGGACGAAGACUGACGCUCAGGUACGAAAGCGUGGGGAGCAAACAGGAUUAGAUACCCCGGUAGUCCCUGUCUCUUAUAC